GGAUGUUAACGGUUAAUCGACUAUCGAUUAAUUGUCGAAAAGAAUUUACUCGAUUAAAUUAAAUUAAUUGUGACUAAUUGAACAUUGUAAUCUAUGACCGUUUCCCACAGGACGUUCUUGAACGUGACCCGAGAUUCUCGCGAGCCGCUAGAGCUAGACACAAACUUGAGGCGGUAAAAAAACUAAAACAAACAAUGAUGAGGCGGUCAAAACGGAGUGGAGUGUGGGAGCAUUUUAGAUUAAUUAACGAUGAAAAAGACGCACAAUGCAAACUUUGCGGUGCUACAUUUAAAUACAACAGCUCUACAAGUUCGUUAAGAUACCACCUGAACAACUUGCAUGUAACGUUAGCCAUUCCGUCGCCUUCACAACCUACAAUUGCUGCUGUGCUGGGAAGGCGAGUAUGCGACCAAAGAAAAGCAGACGGCAUUACUCAGAGAAUUUGCGGGAUGAUUGAAAGAGAUAUAAUGCCAAUUAGCACCACCGAGGCCGAGGGAUUUCGGGAGCUGAUACAAUUCAUGGAGCCAGGAUAUAACAUCCCUUCGCGAGCGACUGUGACUUCCAACUUGGAGGCACGCUACGAAAUUAAGAAGGCUAAGCUAAAAACAUGUUUGUCCGCGGCUAAUGUGGCUCUGACGACGGAUUGUUGGACAGCACUGACUACAGAAAGCUACAUCACGAUUACUUGCCACUAUAUUGAAAACGACUGGCAGGUAAAGUCGGCAGUCCUUCUUACGGAGAGCUUAUCCGAGAGACAUACAGCUGAUAAUUUAGCUGCCAAACUGAACCAGGCUGUGGAGUCAUGGGGACUCACCGGCCGUGUAGUAGCCUGUGUGCACGACAACGCUCGGAACAUUGUUUCAGCAAACAACCCCGCACGAGUCAGUUGGAAGUCAGUGUGUUGCUUUGCUCAUACUUUAAAUCUGGCCGUCAAUGACGGAUUCGCUGCUGCUGGUGUCAACCGAGUAAUUGGAGCUGCUGGCAGGCUGGUCAAGCACUUCAAUCACAGCACACCAGCAACGAAAGCGCUAGAAGCAAAACAAAGACAAAUGCAGCUACCAGCUCAUCGGCUCAUUCAGUCCUGUAAGACCAGGUGGAACUCUGUACAUGCGAUGUUUGGCAGACUCGUAGAACAGCGAUGGGCCGUGUGUGCUGUGCUAUCAGACCGCUCAGAGACCAAGCUUUCAGAUGCGAGGACGCUGGAGUUGAGAGACGACUUCUGGCAGCUUAUGGAGGACAUAGCGCCAGCACUAGAGGCUCUCCAAUGUGCUACUACUGUAAUGUCAGCAGAGGCGGAGGUAUCCAUAUCCAACACGUACCCCAUCACAUUUAGUCUGAUUAACACGCAUCUCAAGAUGGCAAAUGGAGACAGCAACAGAGUGGCGGAAUUCAAAUCUAAAGUGCGCACUUCGUUGGGGGAACGGAUGAAGGUUGAGUCUGAAGACCUCACAUCAACAACACCAAUGAUAGCAACGAUGCUGGACCCACGGCAUAAGCACCUGGGAUUUCUAAGCCCAGCAAGCAGGAUCUCAGCUAAUACCAAACUGCUUGAACUGGCUAUGGAAGAACAUGUGGACUCCACAUCAACAAAUGAAGCCACCACUGGAGAUGAUGUGCCAGUCCAGGGAGCUACACUUCAGAGACACACUUCUGCUAUGACUCUUCUACUGGGUGAAAACUAUACCACCAGCAGCAACGAUGACAUUAAAGAGGAAGUGGACAUGUUUCUGAAGGAUGCCUCACCACUCCUUGAUUCCAGUCCCACAGAAUGGUGGAAAGUCAAUGAAGGAAGAUUUCCGAGGCUGGCAAAUGUGGCACGACGAUAUCUGUGCAUACCGGGCACGUCUGUCCCAUCAGAACGUGUAUUCUCAGCAGCUGGCCUGACUGUAAACAGGCUGCGCACACGACUUACUCCUGACCACGUUAAUAUGCUUAUUUUCUUGAACAAAAAUAGAGGGGUCUAGGUCAGGAGCCUAUUCAAAACACAUUGAGACAGGAAUGUUUUUGUUUCAGGAGAGGUAGCCUAUAUCUUCAUUUGACUGUUCUAAGGGUCGCCCUCUAAUGUUACUGUCACCUUCCUCAGGGAUGAUUUAAGUUGUGUUCAGAAUAUAUUUGAAGUUUCCAGGGCUAGUUAUCUUACUGUUACCUUUCUCAGACCAAAGGGGAUUAUAAAUGCUGCUAAUGUUUCAAGUUUUACAUAUGUAGUUAACCAGAUUAUAAUGUGUAGGCUUAAUAUUGUGUAGGCUAGGCCUACCCAUAUUGUUUAGAUUUCUAUUUAAAAUUAAUUUUAUUUUGCUUAAUGUUUCACAUGCGACAGGUGAGCCAGUGCACAAUUAUUUUGUUAUGUAUUUUAAUUUUCUGUGCUUAAUGUAUUUUGUUAAACUACAUAAAUGCCAUUAUCUGCACAUUAUCCUAACUGGUACAAUAAAACAUCAAUUGUGCAAUAUA
Long non-coding RNA from Eleginops maclovinus (Patagonian blennie), 2448 nucleotides. RefSeq lists it as uncharacterized. The record is from RefSeq and is a predicted model, not a curated record. Lineage: Eukaryota; Metazoa; Chordata; Actinopteri; Perciformes; Eleginopidae. The transcript has 2 exons.